RNAcentral lists this unclassified non-coding RNA (253 nucleotides) under uncultured Legionellaceae bacterium. RNAcentral's name for it is "contains 16S-23S intergenic spacer region". It matches the Rfam family "Bacterial small subunit ribosomal RNA", at positions 524 to 776 of the family's 1533-position model. Lineage: Bacteria; Pseudomonadati; Pseudomonadota; Gammaproteobacteria; Legionellales; Legionellaceae. The record is from RNAcentral.
UACGGAGGGUGCGAGCGUUAAUCGGAAUUACUGGGCGUAAAGGGUGCGUAGGUUGUUUUUUAAGUUAUCUGUAAAAUCCCUGGGCUCAACCUGGGCAGGUCAGAUAAGACUGAAAGACUCGAGUAUGGGAGAGGGUAGUGGAAUUUCCGGUGUAGCGGUGAAAUGCGUAGAGAUCGGAAGGAACACCAGUGGCGAAGGCGGCUACCUGGCCUAAUACUGACACUGAGGCACGAAAGCGUGGGGAGCAAACAGG